GUGACUGUGGCUCAGUAGGAAGAGUAAUUGUCUUGCAAUCAGAAGGUUGUAGGUUCAAUUCCAGCUUCCCCCUGCCAUA
This is a non-coding RNA of Ataeniobius toweri, 79 nucleotides long. The record is from the annotation of a GenBank genome assembly. NCBI's taxonomy places the organism in Eukaryota, Metazoa, Chordata, Actinopteri, Cyprinodontiformes, Goodeidae.